AAUUAAACAAACCAAAUGGCAUCACUGGUGGUUCUUUUUUCCACUCCGCUAAACUGUCAUCUCAAACAAAAACAAAUGGAUCAUACAACUGCUAUGAAUACAUUCGACUCGUUUGCUUCCAUCAAUCGGUAAGUGAGAAAGAUGAUUUCUCCCAUCAGUGCGGAUUUCCACUUCUAUCACAGCAGCCAACAACAUCCGUUUUCCUGCAGCAGUAACCUAUAACCCCUGUUGGCAAUGCCGGGGGACAGCAUCAACAGCAGCAGCAGCAGAAUUUGACCAUGGUAUGGUAUUGCGAAGAACUUUCCCCAUUAGAGGUUCCGUGCUUCGCGCACAUUCAAAAUCCUCUUCAGACACGAAAACUCAACGACAAGGAGGUAUUUAUCAACUUGCUCAGCUGAAUUACCACCCGGAGGAACCCGAAUGCACUGAUUCCGUUGUAUAGUAGAAUGAAAAUAGGCGAGGUAAGCGAACGUAAUCGCAUGAUAUUUUAAUAGUUCGCAUUUUUAUCCGGAUCAUACAACUGCUAUGAAUACAUCCGACUCAAUCAAUCGGCGAGUGAGAAAGAUGAUUUCCCUCAUCACCACAUUGCUUAUUUCCACUUCUGUCACGCCAGCCAACAGCAUCAGCUUUCCCGCAGCAGUAUCCUUUAAGUCCAGGGUGCUAUUCCGGGGAACAGCAUCAUCAGUAACAGCAGCAGGACCUGGCCAUCGAUAGUAUUUCGAGCAAUUUUCCCCAUCGGAGAUCCCGUGCUUCACGCACAUUGAAGAAACCUCCUCAGCCACAUAUGUGUGUCAAGGAGAAAAAGGAGCUGGAUUCGAAUCGUCAAUCCAGACAACCCGAAUGCACCGAUUGCAUUAUAUAUCUUGUUUAUAUUUUAUAUGCAUUUUGUGUUUUUUUGAAUAAAAUGAUUAAAAUCGA
Toxorhynchites rutilus septentrionalis is the source of this 918-nucleotide long non-coding RNA. RefSeq lists it as uncharacterized. The record is from RefSeq and is a predicted model, not a curated record. Lineage: Eukaryota; Metazoa; Arthropoda; Insecta; Diptera; Culicidae. The transcript has 3 exons.